This 391-nucleotide ribosomal RNA is filed under the name uncultured bacterium. Its description in RNAcentral is "bacterial SSU rRNA". It matches the Rfam family "Bacterial small subunit ribosomal RNA", at positions 505 to 898 of the family's 1533-position model. The record is from RNAcentral.
GUGCCAGCAGCCGCGGUAACACGUAAGUUGCGAGCGUUGUUCGGAAUUAUUGGGCGUAAAGGGCAUGUAGGCGGUUUUGCAAGCUUGAUGUGAAAGGCAGGGGCUCAACCCCUGGACUGCGUUGAGAACUGCAUGACUAGAGUCGCUGAGGGGCAAUCAGAAUUCCAGGUGUAGGGGUGAAAUCUGUAGAUAUCUGGAAGAAUACCAAUGGCGAAGGCAGGUUGCCAGCAGAUGACUGACGCUGAGGUGCGAAGGUGCGGGGAGCAAACAGGAUUAGAUACCCUGGUAGUCCGCACAGUCAACUAUGUACACUGGAUGUCUGGAAUAAAAUCUGGGUGUCGAAGCAAACGCGAUAAGUGUACCGCCUGGGGAGUAUGCCCGCAAGGGUGAA